Long non-coding RNA from Leptinotarsa decemlineata (Colorado potato beetle), 418 nucleotides. The record is from RefSeq and is a predicted model, not a curated record. Lineage: Eukaryota; Metazoa; Arthropoda; Insecta; Coleoptera; Chrysomelidae.
AAGUCGUGAUAUUAUGAAUGAACUGAGUACUUCAUUAUAAAAUUAUCCCGAUUUGGAGAGAAAUGAGAAAUUUUCCAACUGAGUUUCGAAACAAACCAGUAUGUAUAAGAUGAGAAAAGUAGGUCAACUGAAUAGCAUGAAUGGAUUUUACAGCUUUGAAAGUGACGGAAUUUGAAGAGAUUUUGUGAUGGUUUCGGAAAAGGCAAUAAAAUUGGAUAAAACUGAAAUACCGGGCCUGAAAGUUAUUAUUUCGUCAAAAUAAUUGCCCAAAAGCCACAGACGUAUAUUUUCAUGGGAAGAUCAUUUCUGUUUAUUCUGUCAUAAAAUUUUCACUGAACAGGAUGAAUAACCAUUCCGUCAAACUUCAUUUUACUCUUCUAUCGAGAUUAAUAAUUGGCAGUAAACCCUUAGUGACUUU